UGGUUUGAGCGUCAGGUGUCUUCUUCA
Molecule: non-coding RNA, 27 nt
Filed under: Mus musculus (house mouse)
Lineage: Eukaryota; Metazoa; Chordata; Mammalia; Rodentia; Muridae
Source: RNAcentral